This 91-nucleotide transfer RNA is filed under the name Vibrio parahaemolyticus. Its description in RNAcentral is "tRNA-Ser". It matches the Rfam family "tRNA". From Rfam's summary of the family: Transfer RNA (tRNA) molecules are approximately 80 nucleotides in length. The record is from RNAcentral. RNAcentral also lists the same sequence under 1 other name. Lineage: Bacteria; Pseudomonadati; Pseudomonadota; Gammaproteobacteria; Vibrionales; Vibrionaceae.
GGAGAGAUGGCUGAGUGGUUGAAAGCACCGGUCUUGAAAACCGGCAUACGUUAAUAGCAUAUCUAGGGUUCAAAUCCCUAUCUCUCCGCCA